GACGAACGCUGGCGGCGUGCCUAAUACAUGCAAGUAGAACGCACAGUUUAUACCGUAGCUUGCUACACCAUAGACUGUGAGUUGCGAACGGGUGAGUAACGCGUAGGUAACCUGCCUGGUAGCGGGGGAUAACUAUUGGAAACGAUAGCUAAUACCGCAUAAUAUUAAUUAUUGCAUGAUAAUUAAUUGAAAGGUGCAAUUGCACCACUACCAGAUGGACCUGCGUUGUAUUAGCUAGUAGGUGAGGUAACGGCUCACCUAGGCGACGAUACAUAGCCGACCUGAGAGGGUGAUCGGCCACACUGGGACUGAGACACGGCCCAGACUCCUACGGGAGGCAGCAGUAGGGAAUCUUCGGCAAUGGACGAAAGUCUGAACGAGCAACGCCGCGUGAGGGAAGAAGGGUUUCGGAUCGUAAAGCUCUGUUGUAAGAGAAGAACGGGUGUGAGAGUGGAAAGUUCACACUGUGACGGUAUCUUACCAGAAAGGGACGGCUAACUACGUG
This 505-nucleotide ribosomal RNA is filed under the name uncultured bacterium. Its description in RNAcentral is "partial 16S ribosomal RNA". It matches the Rfam family "Bacterial small subunit ribosomal RNA", at positions 28 to 507 of the family's 1533-position model. The record is from RNAcentral.